GGGCUCCCAACGUGUUGGGAUUACAGGUGUGAGCCACUGCGCCUGGCCCAGAUGUGUUUUCAUAGGUGAAUGUUAUAUUUAGUUUCCCAGAAAAUAUUCAUAAGCACAUCCUUUAUGCCAAGUACUGUCCAGAGAACAGGACAAGCAAAAUAUCCUGCCUUCAUGCAGCAUAAAUUCCAGCAGAUGACUGGAACUGAUUUGACAUAACCAUCGUAUGCAUGGAGGAGCUGAGAACAGUAAUCUGCAGAAGCAAAAGUAUGAAACAGCUGGGCAAAGAUGCACAGAGGUGAGAGAGACGAAGAGAAUGGCCUCUGGUUUUUGCUGAGCUUCCACUUCUUGGUUCUGCCCCUUCCCCCCAGUCACCUUUACCUUUGAGAUACCCCCAUAAUCUUAUAAUAAACAUUCAUUUUUUACUUAACCUAGUAGCCUUCUGAAACUUGGAAUUAAAAAGACUAUGGCUAUGGCCCUAGGAUCUAACAGAUGAAAAAUGUAUUAUGUCACCAGUAACAUAGGUGGUAAAACAAACAUUUGUUUGAAUGCAGCAAAUUAGAAAGAGAUGGGACUCAUUGCCCAAGGCCACCAAUACUAAGAGCAGCGAUACACAAAUGGCCCAUAAAAAAAGAAAUGUUUCUAUAAAAAGCAGAGCCAAGAACUCCAAAAAACUCAUCAGUCUGGGGCCAUUUAGUUUAGAGACCUCAGUGUGCCUUAGGGUGUCAUUUGGUUAUAGUUAUGUAAGACUAACAUUUGUCACAAUGGCCUUGAGCCACAAAAGGCCAGUCGGAAGAGACAGUGUCAUUUGUUCAGGAGAAUCUACAAUGAAAAAAUGUUUAAAUUAAAUGUUUAGGCAUUUAAAGAUGUAAGACUCGCUUAUCUGGCACAUAGACAUUGUGAAAUACGUCAUUGUAUAACAGAAUGACAGAUACGUGUGGCACACAGUAUAAUUAUACAUACUUCCAGAAACAGAACGUCUAAAUAAAGAACAAGUUGAUAGCAGAAGUGAGGAAUAAAUUAUUUUAUAAUUUUGCUGUUGCUUUCCCCGGGUAGUCCUUGAGACUGAAUCUAUUGUGGAACAA
Long non-coding RNA from Nomascus leucogenys (northern white-cheeked gibbon), 1073 nucleotides. RefSeq lists it as uncharacterized. Lineage: Eukaryota; Metazoa; Chordata; Mammalia; Primates; Hylobatidae. The record is from RefSeq and is a predicted model, not a curated record. The transcript has 2 exons.